UGGGGCAUGGUCACGGGGGUUCAAAUGUGGAGGAAAAGAAGAGGGAAAAAGUUUCUGAGGAGGAAAAGUUGGAGCCUUUGUGGGAUGAUGGAUAUGGAACUCAAAGUGUGAAGGAUUAUCUUGAUUUAGCCAAAGAGAUUAUUAAACCUGAUGGGGGGCCACCGAGGUGGUUCACCCCAAUCUCUUGUGGGCCGCCUUUAAAGGAUUCACCAAUUCUUCUGUUCUUACCAGGUAUAAUUAUUUGGUGCUCAAUUGUAAAGUUAUUUAUUUGUAGAUUAAGACCGAUACUACUCUGCUAUACGAGUGAACUUGGCUUUCCAACAUAAGAAAUUAUUCCGGUAAUUCCGAGCAUAAUCUUUAUUGUAUAGAAGCUUUAAAUGUGUAAGGCCAUUUUUUAGUUUUAAUUCGUUUUUACUUAUUGUGCAGGAAUGGAUGGUCUUGGACUUGGCCUCAUUCUUCAUCACAAGUCUCUUGGCAAGUAAGUCUCAGAUAAAACUCUGCUGAAAUCAGAUCAGACUUCACUUCUAAUCACAAUAUUUUCAUGAGACCCACAAUAUUUAUUAAUUUUUCAACUACAUAUAUUAUGGAAUUUGUUAAAGUUUUGUCUAACUACCCCUUCAUGUUUCUGUACAAUUUUUUCCUGAAAAGAAGAGGAAGAUCUCUUAAAUAAGUUAAUAAUUAGAUACUUAAUGGCUAUCUUUAUAGGAUAAAUAUAUAUGUACCGAAAAUAGGAUACCGAAUUGAUGCCCUACUCUCAUGUGUGCGCGGGCCUCGCGUGCAUUUAAAAAUUUCAGCUUGUGGGGCCCGCCCUCCUAUUAUGAGUGUAGGUAAAAGAUUCAAUAAAAAAAUGUGUAGGUAAAUAUAGCAUUGUCCAUCUUUAUGAGUUAGGCCCGUGUGCAUUUAAAAAUUUCGAUUUGUGGGACCCGCUCUCCUAUUAUGAGUGUAGAAAAAAGAUUCAGUAAAAAUGUGUAGAUAAAUGUAGCAUUGUCCAUCUUUAUGAGUUAGGCUGAGCAAAAUACACGCGCCCAUCUAUUAUUAAACGUUAAGAAAACAAAUGGUGUCUCAAUCAAGCUAGAAAGUACGUAUAAUUAUUUAAAAGAAGCAAGUAGCAAAAUCCUAUUCGAAAACUUGGUGUCUUCAUCAAAUUUUGCUACUUGUACUGUUGUACAUGAAAAUCCUAUUUAAAAACAUGAUGUCUUCAUCAAUUAGUAAAGGUGACUGGCCCAGGCCCUCUUGUAAAGUUGUAUUCCCUAGCUACGUACGUCACACGUCUUAAAGAUAAUUUUUACUAUCGAAUAAACUUUAGUUUUUUAACACAAUUAAACAAGUUGUUUUUUUCUUUUAAAAAUCUACUGAUGUAUUGUUUUGAUAAAUUUAAUAAUUUAAUUAUUUAAAACUUUCUUAUUUACUUGUAAUUAUUUUUUCCCCACAAUAUUAGUUAGUUGACUAAAAGUUUUAGAAAACGAGCAAAUUAAUCCUCAAUCUUUCUUUACAAUUGCAAUCCAUAAUGAUGUCCCCAGUCCCAUUAGGAAAUUUUGGGAGGCGGAGGCGGGUAUUAAAAUAUAUUUCAUCCUACCCUUUUUUUCAUUUCUCUUUUUUUUGAUACAAUUAAAUUAAAAAGUAAAAAAUAAAAGGAUUCCCCAUCCUCAUCUUGGUGCCCAGCUGAGCAGGGAAUCCUUGCCCAAUCAGGCGGGAGGUGAAGUAGACUCUAGAGUCAUGACUUUUUCCCAUCUCCACUAAACAAAUAAUUGUCUAGAACUUAAAAAUUGUAAUGCAAACUUGAUCUAUACAUGUUACAUUUCACUUUUUUUUUUAAUAUACUCAGGUGUCCACCUUACAACGACUAAUACUGAGAUCUAUAAUCCAGUCCCUCUUCACGCAGACCAGGUAAACCGCGGGUUGUGCCCCAAACUAGCCAGGGUUCAAGAGCCCCUCCAACUGAACUGUCAAAGUGUCGAGCGAGUCAAACUCAUGUACACGUCUUGCCUUUCAAAGAACUCAUAUCUUCGAGGAAAUAUCCUGCCUUCCAAGAGAAAGUCUUGCCUUUCAAGAGCCCUAUGAAUCGAACCCGCAACCUUUGAAUUGCCUUGAAGAACUCCAUCCCUUGCCAGUUGGGAUGUGCCUCGGGGGCUACAUUUCAUAUUUCUAAACGUUAGUCUAAUUGCUUGCUUGACUGUUCUUACAUAAGGAUGGGGCUAUGAAUUAAAAUUUCAUUCCUGCCUUGUUGGAGAUUUCAAGAAACCGAGAAGAAGAGGGGAUUAUAAUAAAUUCAGUUAUCGAUCUUUUUAUUUUUAUAUUUUAAUAUAUAUAUUUUUAUUUUUUCAAUACGACUCCAAUUGAAAACAUAAAAAAUAAUAUGAAAAGAAUCGAGGCUGGGGAAUUUCCGUCAAUACUUAAGAGUUGCAUUUUCAAAAAAUAGAUCGAAUGUGAGUCACAAUUAUUAAAUGGAGCCCACGUAUUGCUUAUUUUAAGGGAUCGUGAGGGGGCUCACUACGAAUAAAAAUAUUCGUGGUUAACCCCCUCGCAUGUGAGGGACUGUUAAGUUCCAUGACUCUUAUUUUAAACCACAAAGAGUAUUACGUCUUGAGAACGUUUAAGUUAAAUUUUAGAGACGGUUUAUAUAGACCUUUCUAGAGAUUUAUAAUAACGUCGAAUGCACCUCGUCCUCUCAAGAAUUGUAGAAACCUCCCCACUUGGCAUAAACUUCCAACUUUGUCAUACUCUCUUAUGCAAUACAUAAAAUUGUACUUAUUUUCUUGUUUGUCUAUUUCUUAAUUUUAAUUAAGCAAAAACAAAUUGUUUUAGUUUCAAUUUCAUUUUUUUUUUAAUCUUUUGUACAUAGUGAUUUUAUCUUAUUCAUAAUAAAAUUACUUUCUUUUUAAAAAAUUGAUCAAACUAAAAUUUAUGUAAAUAUUUGCAGAAAAAAGAACUAAAAAGAAAUAUAAGCUUUAAGGCUUUAAUGCAUUUUUUUUUUUUUUUUAACGUUCAGGAUAAUAUCAUUUUAAUUUCCCAAACUAGAAUAAAUGUGAAGAUUAUAAAAAUAUGAAAUACUAAAAAUUGUUAAUAUACUAAGCCUUUGUUUGGGUUUCAUUUUCUCAAAACUCGUUUUCAAUCAUAUAUUCUCUUAUAAAAUAAUGUUACACGUAAAUAUAAAUUUUUUCUUAUUUCUCAAUUAUACAUUUAUCAAAAACUCAAUAUUUCAAAAUAUAUUUUUUCCAAAAAAAUUAUUUUAAUGGAAUUCAAAUAGGGACUAAUUAAAAAUAUUUAAUUUUAUUAAAUUAUUUUAAAAAAUUUAUUUAACUAUUGUUGAUAUGUUAGUUAUUUGUAAGAGUGUCUACGCGCCAAGGUCAAGGUCAAAAUCGACCUUGUCGAUGGGUUUUCUAGAAGCACUAUUGGGAAGGACGAAAUGAUGAUUAAAGUAUCCAUAUUUAACGCAUCAAUUAUUUAAUUAAUUAUUUAAAAAUAUCAAUUAGAUUUAAAAGACAUAAAAAUAAAUAAAAAGAGCCGAGGGCAAAAACGAAGAAUCAAGAAAGAGGAUCAUGUUUUCAAUUCCAAUCCCGAUUACCUAAAAGAGGCGAGGCAAUGUGCUCUGAGUAUUUUGUCUUUCCUAAUUAUUUGUCAAAAGUACGUUUAACAGUUUAAAUUAUAAUUUAAGCUUUGCCAACAUUUACAUAAGCACACCCAGUUCCGAGGAGGAAAAGACUAACUUUAAUUUCAACACACGAGGGCCACAAGACUACUAAACAAGGCUUUUUUUUUAAUCGAGUAAACAAAGGGUUAGUUGUUUUUAUAAUUAGGACUAACUGUACAGUUAGAAAGAAAGAUUAAAGAUCAACUUGCUCUGUUUUGAAGAUAAUAACCAAAUUGCUACUAUCACAAUAAAUUGGACACCAUUGAUGCAACUUUCUUCAAAAUUCUCAAGCUAAACCAUUGCCAAACGUCUCCUGCAAAAGCCUUUUUUACGAACAGAAAAAACAAAAAAUGAAAAUGGCAGGACAUGGAUAUCCACGUCACGUUCUUCCAAAGAGCGCCAAUUAUUCACCGUGUUCAUCGUUCUGUAUCCCAAUACAUGUCGGCCACGUGUUCAUAUCACUCUGCGCCGGUAAUUUUUUUACAGUAGUUUGUACUACAAAUUUAUAUUCAUGUUGUAUAUAUCAAUCUCUUCGUGAUUACAUUUGACUAUAUCCUCACUUGAUUCUCACGAUUUCAGUAAACCCAAUAAGCGCAACGUUGAAACAAAAUGACCCACAAAUUAGAUCUGUUGCUGUAUUUCUUGCAUGAUAGUUUGAAACUUUCCAUACGUUUCCUGUCUAUUCUGCUAACAGUAGUCAGUAGUGAUUAUUCAUGUGGGCUCCUCUUUAGGUACACGAUAUUUGUUCUUUUGUGGCUUGAAGCCUUUUUUGUUUCUAUAUAUAAUUCUUGAAUUUGGAAAGUCUGAGGCCACGGGGUUCAGAUUUACAUGGCUUCAAUUGUGAAAUGUUUCUGGGCAUCACCCCAUUUUGGUUUGAAUAUUAACGAGAAAUGUCGUUCUAGAUCUGGAAUUCAGUGUUUAGCUAGUGGGGAAUCGGCUGAUGCUGCAUUAUCUGUUGAAUCUGUUAAAGUGAAUGGGAUUGUUAAUGGAGUAUCAUCUUCUGUUGUGAAGGAAAAGAAGGAGAGUGAUAGGCUUAUGAUUGAGGUGGGGCAUGGUCACGGGGGUUCAAAUGUGGAGGAAAAGAAGAGGGAAAAAGUUUCUGAGGAGGAAAAGUUGGAGCCUUUGUGGGAUGAUGGAUAUGGAACUCAAAGUGUGAAGGAUUAUCUUGAUUUAGCCAAAGAGAUUAUUAAACCUGAUGGGGGGCCACCGAGGUGGUUCACCCCAAUCUCUUGUGGGCCGCCUUUAAAGGAUUCACCAAUUCUUCUGUUCUUACCAGGUAUAAUUAUUUGGUGCUCAAUUGUAAAGUUAUUUAUUUGUAGAUUAAGAC
Molecule: long non-coding RNA, 4958 nt
Filed under: Olea europaea (common olive)
Lineage: Eukaryota; Viridiplantae; Streptophyta; Magnoliopsida; Lamiales; Oleaceae
Description: long non-coding RNA (OEUR_LNC002781)
Source: RNAcentral